Long non-coding RNA from Neltuma alba, 561 nucleotides. RefSeq lists it as uncharacterized. The record is from RefSeq and is a predicted model, not a curated record. The transcript is spliced from 5 exons. NCBI's taxonomy places the organism in Eukaryota, Viridiplantae, Streptophyta, Magnoliopsida, Fabales, Fabaceae.
GACAAGGGGAAUCUUUUGCAGUGUUACAUGUUGUCAUAAUUUCUCUGAUUACUACCGUAGGUAAUGUGCGGAGAGGAUGAAAUACAACUUAACAGAAACAUGCAGCUUCAGCUUUGCCUGUACCAAAGGACCUAUUGGAAGUAACUUGGGCAUUGAAAAUAACAGUCUCUAGAGAAUGAGGAAAUUGGCUUCCCUGUCUGAAGUUGGUUGGAUGCUAAAUAAAUCAUUACUGCCCGUAAAAGUUUGGCGGAAAAUUGGGAAGAUCUCAAGGAAGAAUAACAAUAACUGCAGGUAAAUUUAUGAAGAGGAUGGAAUGAAACUGGAAAGGAAAAGUGCAGCUUGCCGAUGGUAGAACUGUUAAUUCUUCUUAACCUCCACGUUCAGAUGAGAAGAGUUAUGGAUGAGAGCAGCAGAAAGUUACCAUGAUCAGUUACAUACACUUUGGCCCAAUUGUUUCCUUUUUUUUUUUAAUUAAGAAGAAUUCUGAAACCAUUUUUUAUUCUUUAAUUGUCGAGAACAAAGUCUUGGCUUGGUUGCAACAAAUAAGUAAAUCUUAUUUGC